RNAcentral lists this unclassified non-coding RNA (319 nucleotides) under uncultured fungus. Its description in RNAcentral is "partial contains small subunit ribosomal RNA, internal transcribed spacer 1, and 5.8S ribosomal RNA". The stretch from base 1 to 73 matches the Rfam family "Eukaryotic small subunit ribosomal RNA", at positions 1759 to 1831 of the family's 1831-position model. The record is from RNAcentral. Lineage: Eukaryota; Fungi.
ACAAACUUGGUCAUUUAGAGGAAGUAAAAGUCGUAACAAGGUUUCCGUAGGUGAACCUGCGGAAGGAUAAUUAACGAGUUUUUGAAAUGGGUUGUUGCUGGCUUCCAAAAAGGAGCAUGUGCACACCUGACUCAAUCCACUCUCAAACCCCUGUGCACUUAUUGUAGGCUUGGUGAUUGAAGAGCUCGCAAGAGUUUUGAUAGAGCCCUGUCUAUGCUUUUACAAACGCUUCAGUUUAAGAAUGUUACUCGCGUAUAACGCAAUAAAUACAACUUUCAGCAACGGAUCUCUUGGCUCUCGCAUCGAUGAAGAACGCAGC